UACGGAGGGGGCUAGCGUUGUUCGGAAUUACUGGGCGUAAAGCGCACGUAGGCGGCUUUGUAAGUCAGAUGUGAAAGCCCCGGGCUCAACUUGGGAACUGCAUUUGAUACUGUCAGACUAGAGUACAGAAGAGGUGACUGGAAUUCCCAGUGUAGCGGUGAAAUGCGUAGAUAUUGGGAGGAACACCAGUGGCGAAGGCGGCUCACUGGACCGGUACUGACGCUGAUGCGCGAAAGCGUGGGGAGCAAACGGG
RNAcentral lists this ribosomal RNA (253 nucleotides) under uncultured bacterium. RNAcentral describes it as "partial 16S ribosomal RNA". It matches the Rfam family "Bacterial small subunit ribosomal RNA", at positions 524 to 776 of the family's 1533-position model. The record is from RNAcentral.